CUACGGGUUGCUGCAGUGGGGAAUAUUGGACAAUGGGGGAAACCCUGAUCCAGCAAUGCCGCGUGUGUGAAGAAGGCCUGCGGGUUGUAAAGCACUUUCGGUUGGGAGGACUGCUUCUAGCACUAAUAUUGUUGGAAGUUGACGUUACCUUCAGAAGAAGCACCGGCUAACUCCGUGCCAGCAGCCUCGGUAAUACGGAGGGUGCAAGCGUAAAUCGGAAUUACUGGGCGUAAAGCGCGCGUAGGCGGCUAGAUCAGUCGGGUGUGAAAGCCCCGGGCUUAACCUGGGAACUGCAUCCGAUACUGUCAAGCUUGAGUACAGGAGAGGAGAGUGGAAUUCCACAUGUAGCGGUGAAAUGCGUAGAUAUGUGGAGGAACACCAAUGGCGAAGGCAGCUCUCUGGCCUGAUACUGACGCUGAGGUGCGAAAGCGUGGGGAGCAAACAGGAUUAGAUACCCUUGUAGUC
Molecule: ribosomal RNA, 465 nt
Filed under: uncultured bacterium
Lineage: Bacteria
Description: partial 16S ribosomal RNA
Rfam family: Bacterial small subunit ribosomal RNA
Source: RNAcentral